UGCAAGUCGAGCGGCAGCGCGGGGGCAACCUUGGCGGCGAGCGGCGAACGGGUGAGUAAUGUAUCGGAACGUACCCAGUCGUGGGGGAUAACUAUCCGAAAGGAUAGCUAAUACCGCAUACGUCCUGAGGGAGAAAGCGGGGGACCGAAAGGCCUCGCGCGAUUGGAGCGGCCGAUAUCGGAUUAGCUAGUUGGUGAGGUAAAGGCUCACCAAGGCGACGAUCCGUAGCUGGUCUGAGAGGACGACCAGCCACACUGGAACUGAGACACGGUCCAGACUCCUACGGGAGGCAGCAGUGGGGAAUUUUGGACAAUGGGGGCAACCCUGAUCCAGCCAUUCCGCGUGAGUGAAGAAGGCCUUCGGGUUGUAAAGCUCUUUCGGCAGGAACGAAACGGUGUCUCCUAAUACGAGUGGCUAAUGACGGUACCUGAAGAAGAAGCACCGGCUAACUACGUGCCAGCAGCCGCGGUAAUACGUAGGGUGCAAGCGUUAAUCGGAAUUACUGGGCGUAAAGCGUGCGCAGGCGGUUUUGUAAGACAGAUGUGAAAUCCCCGGGCUCAACCUGGGAACUGCGUUUGUGACUGCAAGACUUGAGUGUGGCAGAGGGGGGUGGAAUUCCACGUGUAGCA
RNAcentral lists this ribosomal RNA (629 nucleotides) under uncultured bacterium. RNAcentral describes it as "bacterial SSU rRNA". It matches the Rfam family "Bacterial small subunit ribosomal RNA", at positions 56 to 680 of the family's 1533-position model. The record is from RNAcentral.